UAAUCGGCCCUUUUCAGGGCCAACAAUUUUUCAAACGAAUAUUUCU
Molecule: non-coding RNA, 46 nt
Organism: Trachymyrmex septentrionalis
Lineage: Eukaryota; Metazoa; Arthropoda; Insecta; Hymenoptera; Formicidae
Source: Rfam